Ictalurus punctatus (channel catfish) is the source of this 7727-nucleotide long non-coding RNA. NCBI's taxonomy places the organism in Eukaryota, Metazoa, Chordata, Actinopteri, Siluriformes, Ictaluridae. The record is from Ensembl.
GGCGUGUAUCUACUGUAAAGCGCUUUAACCUCAGUGCUACUUUCUCACCGAGCAGGGACAGGAAGACACUUAACGGCUCAACAACAUUCACGUUUAUCUUUGUGCUUUCUUUCCCUCUUAAAUUAGCUGUCCUGUCUCGUUUAAAUCUAGAAUCAAGUUGCACAACGUGUAGUGUGCGAAAACAUUAGCACCUUUUUAUCCACUAAACUCCUGAGAUACUUUCUGAAUCGGAGUGCUGCAGUUACAGGGUAAGUGGGGCGUCAAAGUUACGCUUGACAUUUUUCUAAGCGGUUUUACGACCUACAAAGUCCUUACUUAGAGCUUUAUUUCCGUUUUGGUAUACUUGGACAAUUGCUGAACAACUUUUUAUUCAGUUGUAGACGUUUUACACGUUAUGUGAAACCAAACCAAGCAAACAGAAAAACUUGUUGUUAGGGCGGUCACUCGAGUCGCGUGAACCAGGAUUUUUAUUAACUUUAUAAUGCUUUUAUGUUGCUUAUGUCUCAUAGUUACUGUGAGGAAUGAGUCUUAAUAGCUAAUAAAAAGAUAGAUAUAUCUUUUAAAACUUUCUCUUUGUUGUACUGAACUGUUGUGGUGUGUGUUUUUAUCUUCAGCAUGCUCGUAUGCGUUUAGUUAAACCGAUAGGAUUAUAUUAAGGGGGGGAGAACAGCCUUGCUACUACAUAUCUUAAAGACCUUUUCAAGUAUAGGGUGCCUAUUGGUGUUCAGUGCACGUGACUUUAGGCUCCGCCCACACGUCCAAAACCAUUUGUAAGUAUAAGCGGUUCUGGACUUCUGGUUGAUGUUAAAUGAAAACAUUUAUUUCAUUAAAUUUUAAUUAUAAGUUCAUUAAAUCAUGAAGGGAUAUUAUCUUUUUAAAAACGGUUCAACUUGGAGCCCUUUCUUUCUUGUAUGGUAACUUUUUAGUGCUCCAAAUAUCCAUAACUAUCUGUGUUUGAAUUUAAACAGGAAGUGGGCGUGGCCUAAACUACAAUGUGUGUUUUUUUGUUUUUGUUUGUUUGUUUGUUUGUUUGUUUCUAAAUUAACAAUUUCCCUGGGUUAGGGAAACAUUGAGAAAACUAUGGAAUUAAAUAUGUGCCAAAGGUGCCAGAAGUAUUGAACGUAACUUUUCAAUGAGAAAGAAGAAAAACGCUGAAAGUGAAAACAGUGAACUCGGUGGCAAAAAUGUAACACGGUCUUCAAAUAAACAGCGUUCUUUGUUAACAGUUUUCUAAGCUUCCUUUUCGCUAAUUAUGGUUUAUGAAUUCACUGGCAGUUUUCGUUAACAUUUACGUUCACCACUCUGGCACAAACCUCUCUUGUAGGUGGGAUUAACAGCGCUUUACUUUCAUGUGCUAGUGAGAUUUGGAUCGACAGCUCGAGUGUCCAGCUGAGGAUGAUGAUGAUGAUGACGAUGACGCCGCUCCUGAGAGCUCAUCUUGAAAAAAUCGUUGUGCAGUUUAGGGCAGCCCCAGAAAGAGACGCUUCCAGCCAACUCUGCAAAGAGAAGAUACAACUGGCAUGUAAACAGAGGACCAAAGCUCUGUUUUCAUUGGUAGUGGACAUGGAAGGCGCUUUAAUAACAUUAACAAGGUAAUUGUAAAUAUAGCACUAUUGCAGAAUUCUUUACACUUAAUAAAUGGUUGUGACUGAGAAGUCGCAUUACUCUUAAUAUUGAAAGAGAAAGCAGCUGAGAUACACAAAAACUAAAUAUCUUUUGACUGUUUUCAGUAAAUGAAAUGAAAUAAUAAAUACACUGGCGAUUUUUGGAAAAUUGUCCUUGAUUUUGUCAUAAUCCUAUAAUUUUGGAUGUAGCCCCGUUUGUGCUGUCUGCUUGCCUGGAUUUCUCUGUCAGGAUGCCCCAGUGUUUUAGUAGUGUUUUCGUCUCAGUUCGCCUACUUAUACUACGCACUGAAAGUAUGUGAUCUUUUUGUUAAGAAAAAGUAUAUACUUUCGAGAGUGUAGCAAAAGAGUAUGCCAGUACUGGGACAUACUAACACAUCGUGUAAUGAAAGAGAAGGUUGUUGCCUAGAUAUGCACACUGUCAGCGUAAACAAACUCCUCACUGCAUUUCAGCUUUUCUUCAUUCAUUAUUCCUUAUAUAAUAUAUACUAUAUAGUUUAAUUUACCAUUCCCUUGAUUUAUUUUUCCACACUUCUCUAAAAUGCGUCCUUGAAUUCGGUGAAGCAAACCGUCACAAAACUCCUCCUCCUUCACACGAGGAUAUUGCCUAUAUUGUGGGCAAUAUUCGCUGAAAAAGUGUCCACGGUUCAACGCUUCGAAAAUCUAGUGGAAAUAGUAGAGCUUCCGGGUGCCUCUGGGAAUCGUGUCAACAUAAUACGAUUUGGGUCACAGUAAUUCUAAUCCCGGAGACUAUUUAGGACGGACUGUAGGCGAAUUGGGACGCAGCAUAAAUAUUUUAGUAGUGUGUUGUGACCAUUGUAACUAUCCUCAGCUGUUCUACGAGUGUUUCUGUGGGGGUGUGUGUGUGGACUGACACAGCUUUUUUGAAUCAGUGCACACUGAUGUCAAAAGUUCACCUUGGUAUUUGUAUUAUAUUGCAAGGUUUAUCACAGCAGCCAUAUAUAAUUGCAUUCUUUUAUUUUGUCCACAUGUUGCAGCUUGAGAUGGGAGCUAUAAAAACAUUCACAUAUGAAGUGAACACCAGGUUCAGGAUUAGGAAACACUGGUCUACCAUAUGGACAGCCAGCUGAGCACAUUAGCAUUAUGUUGGUGUUAUGAUAUGUGAGCUGCGUAAUUAGUCGAUUAUUAGGAUUAGGUUUUUGGCAGUGAGUUAUUAUAACUAAAAAAAAACCUACAAUAAAUGUAUAUGUUCUUUUGAUCACCGUGUGGUAUAAAGAAAUACUCAUAAAUUACCCAGCAUCAAUGUAAUUUUUACACCAUGUCUAAUAUUUUAGCACAGAAGAGUUUAUGGCUGCCAACAGUACUAGGGGUGUAUCAGGUACACAAAAUUGUAAUUUGAUAGGAUACAGUAAUGUAGUGUCUCAAUACAUUUUCGAUACCAAAAAAGGAAGCACUGCCUGAAUAUGUGCCUCAGGUUUCGGUCUUAAAUUGAUAAACAUUAUAAAAGUAUAAUAAUUGAAACUUAAUAAAGACACAGUGAUUGCUUGUCAGACUCUUAGCAGGAGAUAAUGAAGCAAAACCUGAACGUAAUAAAAUGACCCAUGAUUAAGCUUUAACUGGUGUGACUAACAAGCAGGCAUGUGUGAAGCACAGGAGUUUUUACAUUCUGCUGUUAGUUAGAAUCAUGUAGCUCUCUGUAGCCCUAGAUGUGUUUUUGAAUCCUGUUGAUCUCCAAGGAUUCUCCCUUUGCUUCAGGGGUUUCUCUGGGUACUCUGGUUUCCUCCCCCAGUCGAAAGACAUGUGUUUUAGGCUGAGUGGUUUUUCCAAAUUGUCUGUAGUGUGUGAAUGGAUUCCCCUUGGAUAAUCAGUACAGAAAAUUCGAUAGAUGGAUGGAUGGAUGGAUGAAUGUAGCAGAGAGUUUAAUAUGUGUGUACACAUAGUGUGUGUGUGUGUGUGUGUGUGUGUGUGUGUGUGUGUGUGUGUGUGUGUGUGUGUGUUGCUUCAUGUUUUUGUCUAGUAUUUGAGACAAUGCAGAAUGGUGAUGUCAGACAUGUCUGCGGUAUUAGCACCUGUGUAUUGUUCUCAUAGUUGGCAGAUUUGGGACACUGUAGUCUUUUGGUCCAGAACUCACUGGCCAUCAGCAUCAGUGUUUACUGGGAAGCCGAAGCGCUCCCUUACACUUGCAGAAAUCUUCCAGUUCUAGUCAUUGCUGCUUUUCCUGCUAGUAUUCCAGUGUGUUUGUUCGUGAAAAACGGUGUGCUUAUGAGAAGUGUGUUGUUUUUUUUAAAACCCCUGUAGCCUUUGCUGAAUUGAGAAAAAAGGAAGCUACUUUGUCAGAGGAGGAGCUGUGGGCUUGAUUGAGUUUAUUACACAUCACGUAAUAAAAGCAGUAUUUUAUGAUGACUAGCCUACUUUUUUAUACAGUCUGUUGAAUGUAUUGUUCAGUACGAAGAUGCAUCAAAUCGUCAGCCCCAUUUUGAUUGAUAAGAUACGCUUUAUCGUUACACCCCUACUACCUACACUAUAUGACCAAAAGUAUGUGGACACCUGACUAUCACACCCAUACUGUGUGUGUAUCCCUAAACUGAUGCAAUAAAGUUUGAAGCACACAAUUGUCUACAAUGACUUUAGCAUUAAGAAUUCCCCUUUACUGGAACUAAGAGCCCAAACAUGUUCCAGCAUGACAAAGCCCCUGUGCACAAAGUGAGGUUCAUGAGGUUUGUGUGGGAGAACUUGAGUAGCAUGCAAAGAGCCCUCAACCCCACUGAACACCUUUUAGGAUGAACCGGCUCGCCACCAAGCUCCAAGCCUUCUCGUCCGGCAUCAAUGCCCGGCCACACUGAUUCUCUGACGGCUGAAUGAGCACAAAUCCCCACAGCCACACUCCAAAGUCUAGUGGAAAUCCUUCCCAGAAGAGUUGAGUGUAUUCUAACAGCAAAGUGGGACUAAAUCUGAAAUGUGCUGUUUAAAAAGCACAUAUGGGUGUAAUUAUUCAAGUGUCCACAAACUUUUGGCAAUAUAGUGUACCUAUAAUUUGUACCUGUUUUUACUAAGAUGAAAAAUAAACAGAUAGAUUUAGGUUGUGUUUUUUAUUAUAAUUUUAUUGGGCAAGACAAAGCAUUUAUAUAGAUAUCUAUGUGAUGUAUUCAAUGACGGAGAAGAGAGCAACAGAUUACAAUAAAAAAAGACCGAACAUAAAUAUAUAAAUGCAAUGUAAUUCCUUGUCAGAUUUAUGAACUUGUAAAAGUAUCAAAUCUAAGUAGAAGCUGAACAUUCGACAUUAUGUUGAGGGUUCUCUCUACUGUAAUGUUUCGAGGGGAUUAAUGGAUAGAGAGAGUUAAAUAUGGCUAAAGAAAGUUAAUAGGGAGGACGUAAACUGAAAGUUCUAUACAUUUCCUUUAUGCACUGAAAUAUUGAUUCUCAGAUUCUCUGUCACUGUCCCUACAACAGUGGAGGUGCCAAACUAGAAGCUGCUUACGAUAGUGGUGUAUCAGUCUCCAGUACUUAGGUAGAAUACUGUGGUAUUAUGGGAGCUUAAAAGACAUCCUGUGGUAAAUUUAAUGCUAAAAGCCUUCUUCUGAAGUGGGUUAUGGAACCUUGUUCUGAAAAGCCACAGUGGUAGUGUAAAGUCUGUGUGUGUGAGAGAGAAAAGCAAAUUUUCCCUAUAUUUAUUAUUUAGUCCUUCUAUGGUACUAAAAAGUUAUAGUAAGGGGGGGGGGGGAUUCCCAAGCACAGAUACUCCAGAUUUCACAUCUAUGCUGAUGUAAGAGGUAGGCGUAUUCUGUUUACACUAUGUCUAAUGGUGCAAAGUUUGCAUCGAACGGGCUGUGAAACGCAUGACACAUGACAAAUCCUUGCUGAAGAUUUGAACAUUCAUGAUGUACCUGGUGGGAAAAAGGCUCGAGAUUGCACUGUAGAUUACAGCUGACAUAAGUUGGCAGUUUUACUUGAGCUGGAGAGCUCAAAUUUCCAGUGGAAAUAUAGCAAAUAUCUAAACAACAAAAUCUCAACACUGUCCUCUGGCUGGAAGUGAAUAAUAUAUUUAAUCAUGGAUUGGAUAUUUGAAAGUAGAGAUUUUGUUAGCCUGGUAGUUCAACCAAAGAGAAUAAUAACUUAAAUAACAUACAAUUAUACAUUCAGUGUUCUAUUGUACUUCUAAAAAUAAACAGGGAUUAUGUAACAGGGGUGAGUCAUAUACUGUACAUAGUCAUUACGCUAUGUAUUAUUGUAUUAUUAGUUCAAGUGUUAAACUGUCUCAUGUUCAUUUCAAACCUACAUUAGUGUCAGGGUUGUUGAUGUCUCAGUGCCACCAAAGGAAGCCAUCAUAGCUGAGUAAUUAGGAUCAAAUCCAUCACAGAAGCAGUGAAAACUAAGUGCACCAAUGAGCCUAUAAAGGCCAGGUUAUGGUUUAAAUAAUACUAGAAAUCUAAAAUGUACAAUUGAAAUAAAGGUUAACAAUGUGAUGGAAGAAAAAAGCUGUUCACAUCACCUUAUCUGUGAGCUACAAUGGCAUGUUUCUAGAUUUUCAGAUCACCGAUGCUUGAAAUAAAGGUUGUGUAAGAUAUGUCGUAGGUUCAUUGAGAGUUUGUUUCCCAAAGUCAUCCUUUAAAGGUAUUAAGAGAUUUGAAAGCAUUGCAUACCAUCAUGAACGUCAGAAAAAUUCAAAUGUUAACGCUACAGCCAUUCUGUUGGUUAUAUCCAUUCUGUACAUUUACUGUGGACUUUAUGAGAAACACCUCAACACCUGUUCAUUCUUGCAAUUAUACAAUCAGCCAGUCAAGUGGCAGUGCUGUGGCUUUAGUUAAUGUUCACAUCAAGCAUCAGAAAGGGCGUAAAUGUGUUCUUUGUGUGACUUUGACCGUGGCAUGGUUGUUGGUUCCAGACAAGCUGGUUUGAGUAUUUCAGAAACUGCUGAUCUCCUGAGAUUUUCACACACAACACUCUAGCGUUUACACAAAAUGGUGCAAAAACAUCCAGUGAGUGGCAGUUGUGCGGGCAGAAACACCUUGUUGAUGAGAGAGGUCAGAGGAGAAUGGCCAGACUGGUUUGAGCUGACAGGAAGGUUAUGGUUACUAAAAUAACCAGUGUUUACAACCAUGACGAGCAGAACCACUGAGCAGAACAUACUGAACCAUGAGACAGAUGGGCUACAACAGAAGAUGACCACAUUUGGUUCCACUCCUGUCAGCCAUGAACAGGAAUCUGAGGCUAUACCGGGCACAGGCUCACCGAAACUGGAUCAUUGGUGAUAUUUUUCUUCAACUGUUAAGUUUCUUGGCUGACGGGAGCGGAAUCCCAUGUGGCUUGCUUGGCCGAUUGUAUAAUUGCAUGAACGAGCAGGUGUACAGGGGUUUCUAUUAAAGUGGACUGUGAUUGCAUAUCUAUCAGUUACUUGAUGAGAUCUGAUAAAUGAACAGUACAACAAAAGCUCAUCUUUGAAUUGAUUCCACCAUGACCUAUAACAUGUAAGCUUGUUGCAAAAAAAUGUGUAGAGAGAAGCAGUUAGUUAGCGGUUAGAUAGUAAUUGUCAGAGAAUGGGCAUGUAGAAACCGCAGAAAGUGCAGAAAUAAGCUACUAUUGAGAGAGGCAGUCAGACAAAUCAAAAAUGCGACGCAAAAUCAAAAUCCAGGCGAGGCAAAACACGUGAAUAUAUAAACAGGCAAAAAGUCAAAAACAGGAACAAGGCUUGGUAAUGCACAGGAGGCAAAACACUGAUUAAUACUGUGCGGGGAACAAACACGAGGGGUUUAAAUAAACAGAUUAAUCAAGGGCGAAACAGGAACAGGUGUGCAUCACACUUGAGGAGAAACGACCAAUGAUACAAGGGUGGAGACAGGACAACAAGCAAGACAUAAAUACACGUGGUAACAUCAACAAUGACAUGGCAAUGUGGAAGGCGCUCAGUGCUAUGGGGGAAAUCCCUGACAGUAAUCUGUUCAUAGUACUAUCGAAUCUCUUCAUCUGCACAAUGUGGCAUUUCUACAGGAUGUAGUGGCGAUGUAUUGAGGCAUUAUUAUUAACGUCAUUAACAACAACAGCCGAAUCUGUACGGAGGCAAUACUUAGAGCUGGCCGUGCAGGGUGGCAAUACUUUUGAGAGCCAACCAAAUAGUGUGCCAGUACUUUUGAGAGCUGGGCAGAUUGG